This 246-nucleotide unclassified non-coding RNA is filed under the name uncultured fungus. Its description in RNAcentral is "partial contains 5.8S ribosomal RNA, internal transcribed spacer 2, and large subunit ribosomal RNA". The record is from RNAcentral. Lineage: Eukaryota; Fungi.
AACGCACAUUGCGCCCAUUAGUAUUCUAGUGGGCAUGCCUGUUCGAGCGUCAUUUCAACCCUUAAGCCCUGUUGCUUAGCGUUGGGAGCCUGCCUUACCGCAGCUCCUCAAAGUUAGUGGCGGAGUUGGGUAGCACUCUAAGCGUAGUAAUUCUUCUCGCUUCUGAAGGCUUCCCUCCCCCUGCCGUUAAACCCCUAAUUUUCAAUGGUUGACCUCGGAUCAGGUAGGAAUACCCGCUGAACUUAA